UUUGGAGGCGUGUUAGCCUAAUAUAUAAAUAAAUAAAAAAAUUUCCCCAAAUGAAAUACACCGCCAUGAUGUGACGCGCAAACCCGAAUGAUCCGGUUUGGUAGGCUUAAUACGGUGGAUCAGGUAUGUUAGAGCGGGAAAAAGGCACAGGAGAAAACUCAGGACCAGGAUUCAAAAAAAAAAAAAAAAAAAAACACCCGGCUAAAAAAAAGUGGCAAGGAUGAAGUGGAAUUUAGGGAAAGGAUGUUUUAGUGUCUGGUGCAGCCUCUAUUCAUUCCCCUCCCUUUUCCGUGAUCUUGCUUUGACAAAGAAGGUCGACUAAAAGAAAAGAGCAAAACAAAAAGUUUCUUCCGAAGGCGUCUUCAAAAUUUUUUUUAUCAUGUUUCAUUCCACCAACACGGAAAUUCCCAACCGAAUUGUUUUGAUAAUGUGUCUUAGGGUUACAGCAAGGUGAGAAAAAAAAAUCAACAUCAACAACAAAAAAAAACCCCCGACCGUCCAGGAGGAGUGUGAUGUCUGGGGUUAGUGCCCUGUGAUGGACUGGCACCCCGUCCAGGAUGUCCCCCUGGGAUAGGCUCCAGGUAGUAAGGAUAAGCGGUACAGAAAAUGGAUGUAUGGAUGUAUGGAUUAAUAAGGGUUGUCCAGUCUUAUCUGCGAAAGGUCAGCGUUUCUGCAGGUUUUCAUACCAGCCAAGUAUCUGAUUGAAGGCCAGGAUGAAUUGUUUAAACAGGUGGAAACAGUGGAAAACGCAAGAGUCGUAGACAUGGAUUGGGAUUGGAGCCCAGAUUACUGAAGAUGUGACAGUGAAUGAGUUGAUCAGGUCCUCCUCAACCCUCUGAACUUGUUUCUGUGCGGAAUAAAAAUAUCUGAUUCUGAUGAUUCUAAUGACUUUAUGGUGCCAUGUCCAAGCAUCCAGUACAGGUUUAUCCUCUGAAGGAG
Molecule: long non-coding RNA, 939 nt
Organism: Ictalurus punctatus (channel catfish)
Lineage: Eukaryota; Metazoa; Chordata; Actinopteri; Siluriformes; Ictaluridae
Source: Ensembl